This 321-nucleotide ribosomal RNA is filed under the name Triticum aestivum (bread wheat). Its description in RNAcentral is "partial small subunit ribosomal RNA". Lineage: Eukaryota; Viridiplantae; Streptophyta; Magnoliopsida; Poales; Poaceae. The record is from RNAcentral.
AUGUGUUGUGUGAUAGUGGAGGAAAACAAACACCGAGAUAUUAACAGUUGGCUUUUGUGCAGUAUUAAAACUAAACUUCAAGCGAACGAUCUACAUCUGAAUCCUUGGUCCAGUCUCAUCAUCUCUUUCUUCGUGGUUCAAAAUCAGCAUCCUGAAGUUCCGAACGGCUUAAUUGUAAAGACAAUCCAGACAUACCCACAUGGUGUUGUACAAUCCACCGCUCACCUCGUCUGCUGCCUCCGUUUGUCUAUGUCACUGUGGCAUUUAAGUCAUUGGAAAUUACCCCAGCUGUUUGUCUGCGUCACUGUGGCAUUUAACUAG